GGAAGGAUCAUUAACAAAAAAAAAAAAAAACAAAACAAUAUUUUUGUUUACAACUUGAAAAUAUGUGAGAAGUUAUUACUUUUCAAAAAAAACAUUGAAAAUGAAUUAUAUUAAAAAAAAAAACAACUUAAAUCUCGAAAACUCGAUAUUGGGGAUUACUAGGCUUUGUGUUGGAUGAAGAGCGGAGUGAAGUCCGAUAAGUGAUGUGAAAUACAGACUUUAUGAAUCAUCAAAAUCUUGAAUGCAAAUGGCACUGAUCUAAAAGAUCAGUAAGAAAAAAAGAGAGGGGAUAAAAAAAAACUUAACAUAUAUAAAUGAAGUUAGAAGAAGAAGAAAAUUCUUCUUACUUUGAAAUUGAAAAGUAUUAUAAAAUUUUUUUAUUUUGAGAAAAUUUUGUUUUUUGAUAAACGAAAACAUUUUGAUAAAAAAAAAGGUUUUGGGUUAUUUUGAACGAAAUUUUCUUCACAAAAAAAAAAAAAAGAAAUUAUCCUCCCCCUCUUUAUUUUCUUCAUUACUCGGUGAAUUUAAGCAUAUUAUUAACCGAAGGAAAAGAAAUCAAAAGAGAUUCGAUCAGUAGUGGCGAACGAAGAUCGAAGAGAUCAAAGGUAGAGGGUGGUUCGCUAUACCGCGGGCUUCCGUUGCACCUUUUGAGUAGAGGCUGGUUGCAUCAGCGAGAGACUAAGUGAUGUGGAAACAUCUGCCAAAGAAGGUGAAAGCCCUGUUACGUCUUUUCGUAUUAUUGGUGUGCGGAUCUCCUUUGCUCUUAGAGUCGCGUAGAUUGGGAAUUCUGCGUAAAGUGGGAGGUAAAUUUCUUCCAAAUCUAAAUAUGACACAAAGACCGAUAGCGAAGAAGUACUGCGAAGGAAAGUUGAAAAGAAUUUCGAAAGAAAAGUUAAAAGUACAUGAAACAAUAUCGAGGGAACAAAUAAGUGGAUUUUGAGCCGAGUCCGCCCUGGCGGUUUACUGUCAGGGGUCGGAGGGUAAGAGGGAAGCGGGACAGGGAAGAAGGACGCGCGUCGGUCAGGAAUUCGUUCUGGGAAACGAGCGUAGUCUGAGCCGCUGGACCCGCUUCGAGGAUGAGAUAACUGUUCAACUGGGGCUCUGAAGGCGGUCGCCUGGUUGGUGCGUUUGGUUACAAGUGUCAAAGCUUGUGGCUGGAUGACACUGGCUGGGAGGAGGCAGUCGAUCCACCAAUCCAACAGUUGCUCUUACUAUGGCUUACACUUACUGUCCCGUCUUGAAACACGGAUCAAGGAGUGCAUCAGAGUUAAGAGUGUUUUGGUGUAAAAACCAACAGCGCGUAAUGAAAGUAAAUGGAUACCAGUGGCUGCAGAGGCCAUGCCGUAUCUGCCGGUCCGAAUUUUUUUGAAGGAUCUGAGCGAAAUUAAUUCUGAUACAACCCGAAAGAUGAUGAUCUUUACUUGAGAAGGGCGAAGCCUGAAGAAAUUCAGGUGGAGGUCCGUCGGGCGUUCUAACGUGCAAAUUGAUGCUCAUACUUGAGUAAAGGGGCGAAAUACUCAUCGAAUCAUUUAGUUGCUGGUUUUCUU
Molecule: unclassified non-coding RNA, 1547 nt
Filed under: uncultured fungus
Lineage: Eukaryota; Fungi
Description: sequence contains 18S rRNA gene, ITS1, 5.8S rRNA gene, ITS2, 28S rRNA gene
Rfam family: Eukaryotic large subunit ribosomal RNA (bases 492-1547)
Source: RNAcentral